GAUGAACGCUGGCGGCGUGCCUAACACAUGCAAGUCGAGCGGCGGAUUGUUGCUUGCAACAUUUCUUAGCUGCCGACGGGUGAGUAACACGUGGGUAACCUGCCCUCAACAAAGGCAUAACAAUGAGCAAUCAUUGCUAAUACCUUAUAAGCUUACACUAUCGCAUGAUAAAGUAAGAAAAGUUUUAUCGUUUUAGGAUUGGCCCGCCUCUGAUUAGCUAGUUGGAAAGGUAACGUCUCACCAAGGCGACGAUCAGUAGCCGACCUGAGAGGGUGAUCGGCCACAUUGGGACUGAGACACGGCACAAACUCCUACGGGAGGCAGCAGUGGGGAAUAUUGCACAAUGGAGGAAACGCUGAUGCAGCAACGCGGCGUGAAGGAAGAAGGUUUUCGGAUCGUAAACUUGUAUCUAAAGGGAAGAAAAAAAUGACGGUACCUGAGUAAGAAGCCCCGGCUAACUACGUG
This 465-nucleotide ribosomal RNA is filed under the name uncultured bacterium. RNAcentral's name for it is "partial 16S ribosomal RNA". It matches the Rfam family "Bacterial small subunit ribosomal RNA", at positions 28 to 507 of the family's 1533-position model. The record is from RNAcentral.